This is a long non-coding RNA of Panthera uncia (snow leopard), 2221 nucleotides long. RefSeq lists it as uncharacterized. The record is from RefSeq and is a predicted model, not a curated record. The transcript has 3 exons. NCBI's taxonomy places the organism in Eukaryota, Metazoa, Chordata, Mammalia, Carnivora, Felidae.
GUAAUCUGAGACGAAAGAAUGAGUGAAUGAAUGAAUGAAUGAUCCUUUUUCUUUUUGAAAUGCUUAUUUAUUUAUUUUCAGAGAGAGAGGGAGGAAGAAAGAGAAUCUCAAGCAGGCUCCAUUCUGUCAGCACGGAAACCGAUGCGGGGCUCCGUCCCACAAACUGUGAGAUCAUGACCUGAGCCGAAAUCAAGAAUUGGAUGCUUAACCGACUGAGCCACCCAGGCACCCCUGAAUGAGUGAUUCUUGAAAAGGUUGAAACUGUUGGCAUGGAGGCAUCCGUGGCUGCCUACAUCCAUCAAUGUCACUGUCAAACAGAAGGUUCAGCCGUGUGUAUCAUGCGUACCACAUUGCAUUGCAAGGUCCGUCUUUGUUCUUCUCUCACGGACAAGGACUCCUGUGACAGAGGGAAAGCUGGGCUGGGGCUAAAGGGCCACGCUGGCGCUGCUCUGGGCGUCCUCCACUGUGAGCACUGCUCGCUGUUCACUUGGGUGCCAGGCCCUGAGCUGUGCACUUUAUGUUCGUCAUUGCAUUUAAUCUUACACCAGCCUUACGAAAUAGAUCCUCUGAGUACCUUUUGAAAGUGAGUCAUCUGAGGCUUAAAGAAGUUAAAUGACUCGCCAACCGUCACCCAGCUACCAACAUCAGAGCUGCAACCCAUGCCCAAGUCUGUUGGGCACCAAAGCUUCUAACAUUCCCCAGGCCUGCCCUUGGUGCAGCCUUCUCAGGGAGAGGACUGAAGAUAGAUGCCUGGGGGCGUCCGGUUUAAGGAAGCAGACAUGCUCACCCCUGCUCUGGGCCUCGGUGCCCCAGCAAUCUCAGACCCACUGCUGGAGAGGAGUCAUCUGGGCCGGGGCCAGGGUUUUGUCUGAACGGGAACAGUUUGUCCCCCUGGAGACCAAUCUUGUGUCUGAUUGUGAUUGCAGGGCAGAGUGCUGGGUGGGGCAGUGGCCAGGCCAGGAUGGUGAGAUGUGGGCUCUUUGUGGGCCACAAGCCUUCUGACCCCUCCAAGGGAGAGGACACUGAGGCCUGAGCAUUGUGCCUGAGUUCUCAAGGCUAGUGAGAGUGGGUUAAGGAGGAGAAGGCCGGUCCCACCCCCCACCCCCCCACACACACACAACCAACCAAGUGCUCUAUCAGCCCUUCUACCUCCUGUCCCCUGUCUUCCUCACUCCCACACCCACCCCUUGGAGGGCUGAGGAGUUUCCUUGGUACCUGGCCUGCUCGUUAUUUUUUCCAGAACGACCACCUGCAGCCCAGUCCCAGGCCUCAUGGUCUGAGGCCUCCAGCCCAGGGUGAGCCAUACUGGAUCCGACAUCCUGGGGAAGAGGCUGGCAGGGGCCUGGCCAGGCUGAAAUGGAAGAGACGGAAACAGUGCCGGGACCCCUCCUCCCUCAUAGGAUUCCCAGGAGCCACCAGAAUCAUCUGCGGGAGCUACCCCACUAAGUAAAUGAGAAUGCGUGUGAAGUCCCUAGCACGAGGCCCGGGAGAGUAGGCAAUCAACGAACAUGUGAUCAAUAAAUAACUAUUAGCUACACUUGGCGGUAAUAACCGUCUGUUUGGUGGAGCUCCGGCGCCCAUUUCCAGAGCUGCAGGCAGGGAAAGCUGCGUCCCAAGCUCCAUCUGAAGCCAGAAGGUAGAAUCUAAGUUCUAGGGUCUGGCACACAGCAGGAAGGGAGGCCACGGGGCCCAUAUUGACUGAUGGAGCAAACCCAAAAUAUAGCCUGUGAUUGAUCAAGACAUCCUCUUCUUGCUAUUUUGAGUCUUACUGGGGAGUCCGGAAGGAAAACUGUCCCUCCAGCAAGAGAAGGACAUUUUGACCCAGUGCGUCUUCCCACCAGUUUUGCGGAUGGGCCCUCCCUCUUCCCACCUGUCCUGCUUGCACCAGCUUUAGAGAUGACUUCGGCUCGGCUGCAUGCCCUCGGUGACUAACACAGGCAGGAACCAAGGUGCCACCUCUUCCAGGAAACUGUUCCAGAUACUUCCUCCCUCUUCCCUCACCUGCACCAGAUACGGUUUGGGGAGCUGAGUUAUGAAAUGAAUAUCUAAGUGAAAUUAUAAAGAUCUAGGUUUGAAUUCUGCCACCAUUUACUAUGCACGUAACCUUGGCAAUCUCUUUACCUCUCUGGGCCUCAAUAUCUCUCUCUAAAUUAAUGACAACAAAUUAGUUAACAGGAUGGUCAUGAAGAUCAAAUGAUAUAACUUAGCCAACAGUGCUAGA